UGGAAGGCAAAAUUUAACCAGCGCUGGGAAAGUGGGAUAAUUCCAAGGGUAGAGGUCAAGAACUGCAGUCACAGUGCAUGGGCCGGCACUGCCUCCAUAGCCCUGUCAGAGGGAGGUGAGCUCAGUGGACCCCGGCCCCGCGGGAGCCCCCUCACGAAGGAGACUGCGACUCAGACGAUAAAACAAGGCAUUCGAGUGGCUCACCAGUGGGAUUUUUUGUAAUGAAUGCUGAUUCUGCUAAGUUACAAGGCGCAGCUUUAAGCACAGAGGGCAAUUCAUUCACAUGAGCCUCUUGGGUUGAUUCAGAAGAGGGUGUCAUAUGCCCCCUGCGUGUCUCCGAGCAUGUUCUCCUGGCCUGACUCCUUAUCAGCACCAGACUUCUAUUAUUUGCAGUCAGUAACAAAGAUUCAUCCUUGUAUCCAUCAAGCAACAAGGAGAAUCUUUGUCACUUAGUGUAAUUAAUAGCCGUACCUCGCACGGGAAGACAAGAGGAGGACGCCCUUCGCACAGACUCUGGGUGGAUUCAAGAACAGGCUUCAUGGAUCUUUGCUGCCUUUUGACCAACUGAAAUGCUAGAACUCCAACAGAGGUGGGAAGAUGGAAGUUUCAUCAUUGUCAUCAAUCUGUGAGUCACAACAGGAAAAAGACUUGUUGGACAGAGGCCCACUGCACCUGCCUUUGAAGGAACUACACCCUCUUCUCUUUCAUGGAUUAUUUAAAUCAAGACAUAAAAGUUGCUGUUCUGGAAAUGAAUGGAUGCUGUCAGCUAUCAUAUGACAGCAUCAAGUAUCAUAAAUAGAUCAAGUUGGUUUGCCUCUGUUAUCAAGAGCAAUAAAGUAAGAUUAACCUUUUGGUGCUUAAAAGUGUUCUGUAUUUUUAAAAAUAAGCCUUCUGGAGACUAAAAAGGCAUAUAACUAAUACAAUCUUAAACUGGAUCCUGUAUUGAAGGAAAAAAUGUUAUAAGGGCUAUUAUGGACAGCAGAUUAGAUAAAAUUAUUAUACUGAUGUUAAAUUUACUAAAGCUGAUAAGUGUAUUGUGGUUAUAUAAGAGAAUAAUUAUCCUUGUUCUUAGGAAAUAAACACUAAGUAUUCAGGGAUGACAGGCCAUGAUGUAUGCAACUUACUUAAAAGUGUUCAGAAAAAAAUAUUACGUGCGUAUA
Zalophus californianus (California sea lion) is the source of this 1160-nucleotide long non-coding RNA. RefSeq lists it as uncharacterized. The record is from RefSeq and is a predicted model, not a curated record. The transcript has 5 exons. Lineage: Eukaryota; Metazoa; Chordata; Mammalia; Carnivora; Otariidae.